UCUUUUCCUUUUUUUCCCUUCGCCGCGGUAAUACGGAGGAUGCGAGCGUUAUCCGGAUUUAUUGGGUUUAAAGGGAGCGCAGACGGGUCGUUAAGUCAGCUGUGAAAGUUUGGGGCUCAACCUUAAAAUUGCAGUUGAUACUGGCGUCCUUGAGUGCGGUUGAGGUGUGCGGAAUUCGUGGUGUAGCGGUGAAAUGCUUAGAUAUCACGAAGAACUCCGAUUGCGAAGGCAGCACACUAAUCCGUAACUGACGUUCAUGCUCGAAAGUGUGGGUAUCAAACAGG
RNAcentral lists this ribosomal RNA (284 nucleotides) under Phocaeicola plebeius DSM 17135. RNAcentral's name for it is "partial 16S ribosomal RNA". It matches the Rfam family "Bacterial small subunit ribosomal RNA", at positions 493 to 776 of the family's 1533-position model. Lineage: Bacteria; Pseudomonadati; Bacteroidota; Bacteroidia; Bacteroidales; Bacteroidaceae. The record is from RNAcentral.